Molecule: transfer RNA, 155 nt
Filed under: Kalmanozyma brasiliensis GHG001
Lineage: Eukaryota; Fungi; Basidiomycota; Ustilaginomycetes; Ustilaginales
Rfam family: tRNA
About the family: Transfer RNA (tRNA) molecules are approximately 80 nucleotides in length.
Source: Rfam by way of RNAcentral
AGACUAGUAGCGAAGUGGUCAAACGCGAGAGAUUUAAGUGUUAGGUCUUGGCUCGUUUGCCGGGAUGUGGUGAUGGCUCGCUCAGUGUGAUUAAUGCCAGAUCCUUACCUAUUCCUCUUCCUUAGGGUUCGUGGGUUCGAACCCCACCUAGUCUA